RNAcentral lists this ribosomal RNA (506 nucleotides) under uncultured bacterium. RNAcentral describes it as "partial 16S ribosomal RNA". It matches the Rfam family "Bacterial small subunit ribosomal RNA", at positions 30 to 523 of the family's 1533-position model. The record is from RNAcentral.
AUUGAAUGCUGGCGGCAGGCCUAACACAUGCAAGUCGAGCGGCAGCGGGAAGUAGCUUGCUACUUUGCCGGCGAGCGGCGGACGGGUGAGUAAUGUCUGGGAAACUGCCUGAUGGAGGGGGAUAACUACUGGAAACGGUAGCUAAUACCGCAUAACGUCGCAAGACCAAAGAGGGGGACCUUCGGGCCUCUUGCCAUCAGAUGUGCCCAGAUGGGAUUAGCUGGCAGGUGGGGUAAUGGCCUACCUGGGCGACGAUCCCUAGCUGGUCUGAGAGGAGGACCAGCCACACUGGAACUGAGACCCGGUCCAGACUCCUACGGGAGGCAGCAGUGGGGAAUAUUGCACAAUGGGCGCAAGCCUGAUGCAGCCAUGCCGCGUGUGUGAAGAAGGCCUUCGGGUUGUAAAGCACUUUCAGCGAGGAGGAAGGCAGUGAGGUUAAUAACCUUACUGAUUGACGUUACUCGCAGAAGAAGCACCGGCUAACUCCGUGCCAGCAGCCGCGGUAA